GAUGAAUUGCCUGAAAAAAGGAUUACCUUGAUAGGGUAAAUAAUGUGAUAUAUUUACAUUCAUUU
RNAcentral lists this transfer RNA (65 nucleotides) under Thelaira macropus. Its description in RNAcentral is "tRNA-Ile". The record is from RNAcentral. Lineage: Eukaryota; Metazoa; Arthropoda; Insecta; Diptera; Tachinidae.